Molecule: ribosomal RNA, 249 nt
Filed under: uncultured Oscillospiraceae bacterium
Lineage: Bacteria; Bacillati; Bacillota; Clostridia; Eubacteriales; Oscillospiraceae
Description: partial 16S ribosomal RNA
Rfam family: Bacterial small subunit ribosomal RNA
Source: RNAcentral
CCUAGUGGCGGACGGGUGAGUAACGCGUGAGGAACCUGCCUUGGAGAGGGGAAUAACACUCCGAAAGGAGUGCUAAUACCGCAUGAUGCAGUUGGGUCGCAUGGCUCUGACUGCCAAAGAUUUAUCGCUCUGAGAUGGCCUCGCGUCUGAUUAGCUAGUAGGCGGGGUAACGGCCCACCUAGGCGACGAUCAGUAGCCGGACUGAGAGGUUGACCGGCCACAUUGGGACUGAGACACGGCCCAGACUCC